RNAcentral lists this ribosomal RNA (1098 nucleotides) under uncultured Rhizaria. RNAcentral describes it as "SSU rRNA". It matches the Rfam family "Eukaryotic small subunit ribosomal RNA", at positions 577 to 1786 of the family's 1831-position model. The record is from RNAcentral.
CGGUAAUUCCAGCUCCAAUAGCGUAUACUAAAGUUGUUGCAGUUAAAAAGCUCGUAGUUGGAUUUCUGCGGGGACGGAGCGGCCGGUCGCAACUUGCGACUCGAGCUAGCGCUUUCCCCGCAUCCUGCCGCGAACCGUGUUACCAUUAGUUUGGUGGCGCUGGGGAUCGGCUCGAUUACUUUGAGAAAAAUAGAGUGUUCAAAGCAGGCCACACGCCUUGAAUAAGUUAGCAUGGAAUAAUGACUAAGGACUUCGGUUCUAUUUUGUUGGUGUUCGGGACUGAAGUAAUGAUUGAUAGGGACAGUUGGGGCGGUCUGUAUUCCAAAGCGAGAGGUGAAAUUCUUAGACCUUCGGAAGACAAACAGCUGCGAAAGCGUUCCGCAAGGAUGUUCCCUUUGAUCAAGAGCGAAAGUUGGGGGAUCGAAGACGAUCAGAUACCGUCGUAGUCUCAACUAUAAACUAUACCAGCUAGGGAUCGGUCAACGUUUAAUUAUUCGACUUGAUCGGCACCUUAUGAGAAAUCAAAGCAUCUGGGUUCCGGGGGGAGUAUGGUCGCAAGGCUGAAACUUAAAGGAAUUGACGGAAGGGCACCACCAGCCGUGGAGCCUGUGGCUUAAUUUGACUCAACACGGGAAAACUUACCAGGUCCAGACAUAGUAAGGAUUGACAGAUUGAUAGCUCUUUCUUGAUUCUGUGGGUGGUGGUGCAUGGCCGUUCUUAGUUGGUGGAGUGAUUUGUCUGGUUAAUUCCGUUAACGAACGAGACCUCAGCCUGCUAAAUAGCGCGGCUGAGCUUUGCUCGGUGCGAGCUUCUUAGAGGGACUAUGAUGCGCGAUAGCACAUGGAAGUUUGGGGCAAUAACAGGUCUGUGAUGCCCUUAGAUGUUCUGGGCCGCACACGGGCUACACUGGCGCCUGCAACGAGCAUAUCAGCUGGCCCGAGAGGGUCUUGGCUAAUCUUUUGAACCGGCGCCGUGCUUGGGAUUGACCUUUGCAAUUGUUGGUCAUGCAACGAGGAAUGCCUUGUAAACGCGAGUCAUCAGCUCGCAUUGAAUACGUCCCUGCCCCUUGUACACACCGCCCAAGGGCGAAUUUCUGCA